Molecule: long non-coding RNA, 788 nt
Organism: Monodelphis domestica (gray short-tailed opossum)
Lineage: Eukaryota; Metazoa; Chordata; Mammalia; Didelphimorphia; Didelphidae
Source: RefSeq, a predicted model, not a curated record
AACCUUAUCGUCACUUCCUCUCAUGAACCCUGAUUUCCUGAAAAGAUGGCGGUUCGACUUCAAGAUGUGCUUCGAGAAAUGUUAUUUCUGUUCCGGGACGGUGUACCCGGGGCACGGCAUGAUGUCUGUCCGCAGCUAGUGUAAGUUGAUGCCAUGAAGAGAGUAGAUGAGAUCAAACAAAAACAUCAAGCUAAUUUAUAAUGAACAGUUAAAGAAGAGCAAAGAACUACAGAAUGUUCAGGCUAUUAGCGAAGUCAAACAAAACAUCUACCUUAUUCAGGCAUCCCUGGCAGGAAAAGGAAAACAAUUGGAAGAAAAAAACAGUGCUCCAAUUACAAUAGGAUAUGGACAUGGAAGAUUAUUCUUCGACUUCUCAGUGUUCUGAAACCUUUGCUCUCUAUUUCUCUAGAAAAUAUCUUGCAGAGCCUUGGAACUCUUGUGUAUUAUUGAUUUGUUUUUUACAUUAAUUCAGAAGAAGGAAUGGUAGUUAAAAAUACAUCUCUUCCAUAUCAUUAUCUGUAAAAUAUCAAAUUAUGGGGAUGUUAGAGUAUAGUUCAAGGUUAAAGGGACAUUGAAUUGGCCAUUCUUUGUAAGUUAUGAAAGUGCUAUUUGUAAUAAUAGAAGGGAGUAGAAACAAAAUGGUUAAAUCCUUUGGAUAAUGACUUUCAGCAUUUUAAAAAUUUGAUAAUUGUAUUUUGGUCAUUGAUGUACAAAAUAAAACAUUUCUUUUUAACGUCCUCCUUUAAUUGAAAUGGGAAUGGAAUAAAACUGUAUGUUUAUUGAAUUAA